This is a non-coding RNA of Camellia sinensis, 528 nucleotides long. The record is from RefSeq and is a predicted model, not a curated record. NCBI's taxonomy places the organism in Eukaryota, Viridiplantae, Streptophyta, Magnoliopsida, Ericales, Theaceae.
UUCUUACAUUCCUUACCUCGAACAACUUGAAAUAUAUUGAACUGUGUAAUUGCAGGUUGGAGAAUAUUGAAGAGAAUGCUCAGUCAUAUGUUAAUACAGGGCAAAUCCAUGCUUCUUGUGAUGUUUGUCACAUUGUUGAGCCAGUGAAGGACAAUGAAGUAAUAAAGGAUUAGGCAUCAACGGGGCAAAUAAUGAUGGAUAAUUUAUCUUCUAUCUCAUCAUUGAGGUAACAUAUGGAUAGGGUUUUGGAGGGAAAAAAGAGAGCUGAGAGAGUGGGAGAACUGUGGUGCACUCCAUAGAUGGGGAUAUCAGCUCAGAAACUGUAUAUCUUUAUUAUCAAUGGCAAGUAGUGAUGAUUUAGUGUUAUACUACUUGCUAUCUUUGUUGAGACAACUUGAGCCCAGAAUUGUGCCAAAAGAAAUGAAAAUAUCUUUAGUACCUGGCAAAAAAUAUCUUCUGGCCUAUGUGGAUUGGGUUUGUAAAUUUCUUUGGUGUUUUAUACAGAAAGAGGCUGCUAUUCGUAUCGCA